This 124-nucleotide small RNA is filed under the name Marmota monax (woodchuck). Lineage: Eukaryota; Metazoa; Chordata; Mammalia; Rodentia; Sciuridae. The record is from RNAcentral.
GCUUGGCACAGUGGUGCAUGCCUGUAAUCCCAGCAGCUCAGGAGGCUGAGGCAGGAGGAUCGAGAGUUCAAAGCUAGCCUCAGCAAAAGUAAGGCACCAAGAACUCAGGGAGACCCUGUCUCUA